CAUGUCUUUUUGAUUAUAAUUUAAAGUCUGACCUGCUCUAUGAAUAAUAUAUGUUUAAAUGGCCGCGGUAUUUUGACCGUGCAAAGGUAGCAUAAUAAUUAGUUUUUUAAAUGAGAACUGGAAUGAAUGGUUGGACGAGAAAGAUACUGUCUCAAUUUAAUUUUAAUUAGAAUUUUAUUUUUAAGUAAAAAAGCUUAAAUAUAUUUAAAAGACGAGAAGACCCUAUAGAGUUUUAUAUUAAAUAAAAUAUUUAAAAAUUAAAGUAUUUAUUAUUUAUUUAUUUAAUUUAGUAUUUGGUUGGGGUGACUAAAAAAUUUAAUUAACUUUUUUUAUAUAUUUACAUUAAUUUAUGAAUUAUUGAUCCAUAUUUUAUGAUUAAAAGAUUAAAUUACCUUAGGGAUAACAGCGUAAUUUUUUUUUAGAGUUCUUAUCGAAAGAAAAGAUUGCGACC
RNAcentral lists this ribosomal RNA (451 nucleotides) under Pedaria sp. dgi1. Its description in RNAcentral is "partial 16S ribosomal RNA". Lineage: Eukaryota; Metazoa; Arthropoda; Insecta; Coleoptera; Scarabaeidae. The record is from RNAcentral.